GGGCAAGGAAGGUCAGUUAAAUGUGCUAUGUCCUGUGGCAACACUGACACUCGAUCGUCCUGAUUA
RNAcentral lists this small RNA (66 nucleotides) under Brevibacillus brevis. RNAcentral's name for it is "Bacillaceae-1 RNA". It matches the Rfam family "Bacillaceae-1 RNA". The record is from RNAcentral. Lineage: Bacteria; Bacillati; Bacillota; Bacilli; Caryophanales; Paenibacillaceae.